AUGACUCUUAGUAAUGGAUAUCUCAGCUCUCACAUUGAUGAAGAAUGUACUAAAAAUGUGAUACUUGGUGUGAAUUGCAGAAGCCUAUGAACCAUCGAGUCUUUGAAUGCAAGUUACGCAACAAGCCAUCAGGCCGAGGGUACGCCUACCUAGGUGUCAUGCAUCGUCACCCCCUCCAACCCCCUACCCAUUAGGCUUUAGGUGAUGGGGGUAGAAGACAGCCUCCUGCAAUCUCAUUGGUUAUGGUUGGCCCAAAAGUGAGUCUCUAGCAAUGAUAGCACCGUGAUCAUUGGUGGUCAAGCUCCACGCAAGCCUCAUCUCUAGUGACGUGUCCUCAUUGUCCAUUUGGACCCCAUUGGACAUUCUACAUUGCUUGGUCAAUGGUUGCAUUGUGACCCUAGGUCAAGUGGGAUAACUUGCUAAUUUUAAGCAUAUCAAUAAGUGGAGGAAAAGAAACUUACUAGGAUUCCCCUAGUAAUGGCGAACCUAACGGAAAGAGCCCAGCUUGAGAAUCGGGCACCCUCAACAUCUGAAUUAUGUUUGGAGAAGCAUCCUCAAUAGUAGACUGAGCCCAAAUCCCUUCAAAAAGGGCAUUGGAAAGGGUGAAAGCCUUGUUGUGCUUGGACCUUAUCAUACCAUAAGGCAUUAUCUGUAAGUCAAGUUGUUUGGGAGUGCAACCCCUAUUGAUGACAAAUUCUAUCCAAGGUUGAAUACAAGUGAGAGACCAAUAGUAAACAAGUACUGUGAGGGAAAAAUGAAAAAGACUUUGAAAAAGAGUCACAAAGUGCUUAAAUUGUCAGAAGGAAAGUAGAUGGGGGCUGGCAAUGCACCUUGAUCAAAUGUGUAAUGAAGAAAGUUAGUCUAUUGAUUGGCUUAGGGUGUGGAUUGAUGCAGAUAAUGAUAGUGGCCCAAUCCUAAGCUUUCAAUACGCUUAUGAAGACAUCAUCACCACGAUCAUGGAAUGUAGCAUGUAUCAUCUUGAUGUGCCCCGACACUGGCAUGCUCCCACUGUUGGCCUAUGGGCUCCCCAUCCAACCCAUCUUAAAACAUAAACCAAAGUGUUUGACAUGUGUGCAUGUCAAUGGGCUAGAAAACUUGUAAGGUGCAAGGAAGCUAAUUGAUGGGAUCCCUCGUGAGUGCAUUGACAAUUGACCUUGAUUUUUUGAGAAGGGUUCAAGUGCAAGCAUGCCUAUCGAGACCUAAAAAAUGGUGAAGUAUGCCUAAAAGGGGUGAAGCCAAAGUAAACUCCGAUGGAGGCUUGCAACAAUGCUGACCUGCAAAUCAUUCAUCUAACUUAUGUAUAGGGGCAAAAGACUAAUCAAACCAUGCAAUAGCUAGUUUCCCCCAAAGUUUACCUUAAGAUAGCUAGUGCCCUUAGUGAGUUCUAUCGAGUAGAGUGAAUGAUUAGAGACAUCAGGGGUGUAACACCCUCGACCUAUUCUCAAACUUUAAAUAGGUAGCAUAGCAUGGCUACUUCAUUGAGCUAUGCCAUGGAAUCAAGAGCUUUAAGUGGGCCACUUUUGGUAAGAAAAAUUGGAUAUACGAGAUGAACUUGAAGCCAAGUUACGGUGCCCAACUCCAUGUUUCCUAGAAACCAUAAAGGGUGUUGGUCGAUUAAAACAACAAGAUAGGGGUCAUGAAAGUCAAAAUGCUCUAAAAACUGUGUAACAACUCACUUGCCAAAUCAUCUAGCCUUGAAAAUGAAUUACAGUUAAGUGCAUAAGCUAUACUUGGCUACUGAGGCAAAAGCCUAGCCCUAAUAAGUAAGAGGGCAUGGUGAUCAUUACAAAACCCAAGGCUUGAGCCCAGGCAAAGUGAUCGUUAGUUCAGAUCUUGGUGAUAGUAGCAAAUAUUCAAAUAAGAACUUGUACAGCUGAAGAGGUGAAAGGUUCCUUAUAAAUGGCACUUGUAUAUGGGUUAGUCGAUCCUAAGAGAUAGGGGAAGCCUAUCUAACAACAUGCUCAGCAUGAGCUUUGAAAGAGAAUUAAGUUAAAAUUUCUAAACUGAGAUACGGUGGUUGAUGGCAACAUUAGAGAGUCUAGAGACAUCAGUAGAGGCCUCAAGAAAAGUUGUCUUUUCUAUUUAAUGACCUGCCUACCCUAGAAACAACUCAAUUAAAGGUAGGGUCUAGCGGCCGAAAGAGCUCCGCAUGUCAUGUGGUGUCUGGUGUGCCCAUGGUGGCCUUUGAAAAUCAAGGGGACCUAGUGCCAUUUGCCCCUGAUUGUACUCAAAACUACAUCAAGUCUCCAAGGUGAAAAACCUCUAGCCAAUGGAACAAUGUAGGCAAGAGAAGUCGACAAAAUGGAUCCACAACCUUGAGCAUAGGAUUGGCUCUAAGGGCUAGGCACUAAAGUCCUAGUCCUAAACCUAUCAAUUGCUAAAGCAUUGCUGAAGUGGCUUCCACAGUGAAAGUAGGUCACCGCAUGCUGACUAAGGGAUGGAUUGGGAAUGAUUCCCUUAGGGGCCUUCCUUUGGUGAUGAAUAGUUGACUCAAAAUUGGUUUGAACAAAGGGAAUCUGACUGUCAAAAUGAAGAAAUUCAAUUAAGCGUGGGUAAAUGGUGGGAGUAACUACGACUCUCUUAAGGUAGCGAAAUGCCUCGUCGUCUAAUUAGUGUCACACAUGAAUGGAUUAAUGAGAUUCCCACUAUCCCUAUUUGCUAUCCAGUGAAACCACAGCCAAGGGAACAAGCUUAGCAGAAUCAACAGGGAAAGAUGACCCUGUUGAGCUAGACUUUAGUUUGACUUUGUUAAAUGACUUUAGAGGUAUAGGAUAAGUGGGAACCCUCAAGUGAAAUUGAAAUACCACUACUUUUAAUGUUAUUUUAUUGAUUCUGUGAAUCAGAGGUAGGGCAUAACCCUUUCUUUUAGACACAAGGUUGGCCUCAAUCGGUCGAUCUAGGUAGAAGACAUUAUUAGGUGGUGGAGAGUUUGGGUAGGCAACACAUCUGUUAAAAGAUAACACAAGUGUCUUAAGAUAAACUCAAUAAGAACAAAAAUCUUAUGUGGAAUAAAAGGGUAAAAGCUCAUAUGAUUUUGAUUUGUAGUACAAAUACAAAUCAUAAAAAUGUGGCCUAUCGAUCCUUUAAACCUUUGGAAUUUGAAGCUAAAGGUGUUAGAAAAGUUACCAUAGGGAUAACUGGCUUAUGGCAACCAAGCAUUCAUAGCGAUGUUAGUUUUUGAUCUUUUGAUGUCGACUCUUCCUAUCAUUAUGAAGCAAAAUUCAUCAAGUGCUAGAUUGUUCACCCACCAAUAAAGAACAUGAGUUGGGUUUAGACCAUCAUGAGUUAGGUUAGUUUUACCCUACUGAUGGUAGCAUCACAAUAAUAAUUCAACUUAGUAUAAAAGGGACCAUUGAUUCACACAAUUGGUCAUUCCACUUAGUUGAAAAAGCUAGUGGCAUGAAGCUACCAUGCACUUGAUUAUGUUAAACAUCUCUAAGUCAAAAUCUAGGCUAGAAGCAAUGCAUGUGCCUACCACCCGAUUGUUAACCCAUAGUAGGGGUCUAUGGCCCUUAAAGGCACGUGUCAUAGGUGCAGCCCUAACCGUAAAUAAGUUACUCUAGCCUCCUUGUAGCUCAAUUCCCAUCGAGUGGUGGGCAGAAUC
RNAcentral lists this ribosomal RNA (3604 nucleotides) under Durio zibethinus. RNAcentral describes it as "eukaryotic LSU rRNA". The stretch from base 393 to 3604 matches the Rfam family "Eukaryotic large subunit ribosomal RNA". Lineage: Eukaryota; Viridiplantae; Streptophyta; Magnoliopsida; Malvales; Malvaceae. The record is from RNAcentral.